This 922-nucleotide non-coding RNA is filed under the name Aspidoscelis marmoratus (Marbled whiptail). RNAcentral describes it as "12S ribosomal RNA". It matches the Rfam family "Bacterial small subunit ribosomal RNA". Lineage: Eukaryota; Metazoa; Chordata; Lepidosauria; Squamata; Teiidae. The record is from RNAcentral.
AAAGUCUUAGUCUUAAACUUAUUAUUGCUUAUAAGCAAGAUUAUACAUGCAAGCCUCCACAAACCUGUGAGUAAUAGCAUCAGGCACGCCACCGCAGCCCACGACGCUAAGCAACUACAUGCCACACCCACACGGCCCCCAGCAGUAAUUAACAUUGGGCAAUGAGUGAAAACCCGACCCAGCUAUGAUUAUCACAACGCCGGUAAAUUUCGUGCCAGCUACCGCGGUUAUACGAACCAGGCUAAAAGCAAUAAAUCAACGGCGUAAAGAGUGGCCACUUUAUAUACCUAAAAAAUUAUAGCCAAAUAAUGUUUAUAUGGUAAAAUAUGAAACGCCAGAAGCCCUAAGCUAUAAUCAACAGGCAUUAAGACCCACGACCCCUAAGAUACAAACUAGGAUUAGAUACCCUACUAUGCUUAGAAGUUAACCACGACAAACCACUAACAAUUUGUCCGCCAGAAGAUUACGGGCGAGAGCCUAAAAUUUAAAAGACUUGACGGUGUCCCACUUCUACCUAGAGGAGCCUGUUCCAUAAUCGAUAAUCCCCGAUCAACCCGACCUCUCCUUGAAAUUAUUCAGCCUAUAUACCGCCGUCCUCCCGCUUACCUUUUGAAAGAUUAACAGUAAGCCCAAUAGUCCGCCAACUAAAAAAUCAGGUCAAGGUGUAGCUUAUGGAGAGGAGAAAAUGGGCUACAUUUUCUACAAUAGACAACACGGAAAGUAUUCUGAAAUAAAAUACACAAAGGUGGAUUUAGAAGUAAGCUAAACCAGAGUGUUUGACUAAAACUAGCCCUGGGACAUGUACACACCGCCCGUCACCCUCCUCAACUUACUACAACAACCAUUUAUAAUAAGAUUAAAACAAAACAAGAUGAGGCAAGUCGUAACAAGGUAAGCGUACUGGAAAGUGCGCUUGGAAUAC